UAGAAUGAAAACAGAGAAGGGAGAAGAAGAAAAGAAAAGAGAAGAAGGGAAGGAAGAAAGAAAAGGAAAGAGAAGGAAGGAGAAAGAGAGUGCAGCAGCCCUCUUGCUGCUGUUUACUCAUGCUGUUCCUACUAUUGUAUGGCUGCUGCUAUUACUGUUCAUGCACCUCCUUAAGCUGCCAAUAGUUGGAAGAAGUUUCCAAGGUGCUGCCACAACUGGAAUAGAUGCCUAGAGCUGGACAGGUGCAUGUAAACUUGCCUACACCUCCUAGGAACUUCAGGAAGGAACCUGCAAUAUACCCGGUGAAGAUACUCAUGAUCAGGAAUUUAGCGAAAGAACAUUGGAUUCGGGAAAUCAGAUAUUGGAACUACAGCUUUGGGCACGACAGAGACAGUUCGGAUAUCCAGGUGUAGUUAUUGGACACAUGCUGGUCAGAUGAUUAAGAUGACUUGUGAAAUGGGUUUGGUUAUCAUACUGCAUCUGUGAUCCUGGGUAUUGUCAGGCUGACUGUGUUGAAAAUCCAAUGCCGCAUACCUUAGCCAUAUUUGGGGCAAGGUGUGACACAUUUCAGAUGGAAGGUAUAAUCAUGUUCAACAGAGGUCAUCAAAUGCACAAGGAGGAAUGCUCUGAUCCAAAUAGAAGGAUGUAAAAGAGCUAGGGAUAUGCCAAAAAGUGACCAAAGGAGAAUUGGUGAGGAAAGACAUGCACAAAUUAGGUCUUGCUCCAAGUAUGCCAUCGAUUAGAGCAUAUUGAUGGGUCAAGAUCUGGGUAACAGACCCCACUUGUUGAGUUCUACUUCGUUAGAAUUUUUAUGAUCUAUUUACUUUCACUUUUACUUAUCCUUUUUCUUGCCCCUUGCUUUGAUUCACGUAGUUGAUCCCAUUAAGUUGGGAUAAGGCUUUGAUGUUGUUACUAUUGUAUAACAAACAUUUGUAUAA
This is a long non-coding RNA of Macadamia integrifolia, 938 nucleotides long. RefSeq lists it as uncharacterized. NCBI's taxonomy places the organism in Eukaryota, Viridiplantae, Streptophyta, Magnoliopsida, Proteales, Proteaceae. The transcript is spliced from 4 exons. The record is from RefSeq and is a predicted model, not a curated record.